GCCUUCGUAGCUCAAUGGACAGAGCACCAGACUUCGAAUCUGUUGGUUCCGAGUUCGAAUCUCGGCGAGGGCG
Molecule: transfer RNA, 73 nt
Filed under: Leptolinea sp.
Lineage: Bacteria; Bacillati; Chloroflexota; Anaerolineae; Anaerolineales; Anaerolineaceae
Description: tRNA-Arg
Rfam family: tRNA
About the family: Transfer RNA (tRNA) molecules are approximately 80 nucleotides in length.
Source: RNAcentral